This 479-nucleotide ribosomal RNA is filed under the name uncultured Lachnospiraceae bacterium. Its description in RNAcentral is "bacterial SSU rRNA". It matches the Rfam family "Bacterial small subunit ribosomal RNA", at positions 238 to 733 of the family's 1533-position model. Lineage: Bacteria; Bacillati; Bacillota; Clostridia; Lachnospirales; Lachnospiraceae. The record is from RNAcentral.
UGAUUAGCUGGUUGGUGAGGUAACGGCUCACCGAAGGCGACGAUCAGUAGCCGGCUUGAGAGAGUGAACGGCCACAUUGGGACUGAGACACGGCCCAGACUCCUACGGGAGGCAGCAGUGGGGAAUAUUGCACAAUGGGGGGAACCCUGAUGCAGCGACGCCGCGUGAGUGAAGAAGUAUCUCGGUAUGUAAAGCUCUAUCAGCAGGGAAGAUAAUGACGGUACCUGACUAAGAAGCCCCGGCUAACUACGUGCCAGCAGCCGCGGUAAUACGUAGGGGGCAAGCGUUAUCCGGAAUUACUGGGUGUAAAGGGUGCGUAGGUGGUAUGGCAAGUCAGAAGUGAAAACCCAGGGCUUAACUCUGGGACUGCUUUUGAAACUGUCAGACUGGAGUGCAGGAGAGGUAAGCGGAAUUCCUAGUGUAGCGGUGAAAUGCGUAGAUAUUAGGAGGAACAUCAGUGGCGAAGGCGGCUUACUGGA